CAGCACUCUCACACACAUCACACUCUGCACUCUCACACACAUCAUACACAGCACUCUCACACACAUCAUACACAGCACUCUCACACUCAGCACUCUCACACACAUCAUACACAGCACCCACACACACAGCACCCUCACACAAAUCAAUCACAUACAGCACCCACACAUACAGCACCCUCACACAGCACCCACACCUCACACACAGGAUCCAUCACACACACAUAGUGCACCCCUCACAUACACACACAACCCCCCGAUACAC
This is a non-coding RNA of Pelobates cultripes (western spadefoot toad), 262 nucleotides long. The record is from the annotation of a GenBank genome assembly. NCBI's taxonomy places the organism in Eukaryota, Metazoa, Chordata, Amphibia, Anura, Pelobatidae.